GGCUUCGUAGCUUAACUGGAUAGAGCACCUGACUACGAAUCAGGAGGUUGCAGGUUCGAAUCCUGCCGAGGUCA
Molecule: transfer RNA, 74 nt
Filed under: Membranihabitans marinus
Lineage: Bacteria; Pseudomonadati; Bacteroidota; Saprospiria; Saprospirales; Saprospiraceae
Rfam family: tRNA
About the family: Transfer RNA (tRNA) molecules are approximately 80 nucleotides in length. Their secondary structure includes four short double-helical elements and three loops (D, anti-codon, and T loops).
Source: Rfam by way of RNAcentral